ACAAUGGAGAGUUUGAUCCUGGCUCAGGAUGAACGCUAGCGGCAGGCUUAAUACAUGCAAGUCGAACGGGAUUCGGUGUAGCAAUACAUUGAUGAGAGUGGCGCACGGGUGCGUAACGCGUAUGCAACCUACCUUUAACAGGUGAAUAGCCCCGAGAAAUCGGGAUUAAUACACCGUAACAUUGCGGGAUGGCAUCAUUCUGCAAUUAAAGAUUUAUCGGUUAAAGAUGGGCAUGCGUGACAUUAGCUAGUUGGUGAGGUAACGGCUCACCAAGGC
RNAcentral lists this ribosomal RNA (276 nucleotides) under Bacteroidales bacterium. RNAcentral's name for it is "partial 16S ribosomal RNA". It matches the Rfam family "Bacterial small subunit ribosomal RNA", at positions 1 to 274 of the family's 1533-position model. Lineage: Bacteria; Pseudomonadati; Bacteroidota; Bacteroidia; Bacteroidales. The record is from RNAcentral.